ACUACAGAACCUUUCAAAAAUGAGUGGUUGCCUUCGGGGAACUCUGAACACAGGUGCUGCAUGGCUGUCGUCAGCUCGUGUCGUGAGAUGUUGGGUUAAGUCCCGUAACGAGCGCAACCCUUGUCCUUAGUUAGCCAGCAUUGUAAUUUGGUGGGCACUCAUAANAGGAAGAGUGGCGGAUGACAAACCAGGAAGAGAAGUGGUGGAGUGAAUGACUGUCAAUCGAUCAAUCAGUCGCGCCCAUUAAGCGUCGUUGGUACUUACACACUGUUGCUACAAGUAGGUCGGAGUACAGAGGGUUGCCAAUCCGAGAGGUAGGACGCAUAAUCUCACAAAACCGAUCAGUAGCUCCGGAGUCGCACUCUGACAAUCUCGAUGCUUGCCGAUGAAUGUCAAGAUAUCGACUAGGAUACUCGCGACACCUCCAAAUGUCGCGUGAGAACUA
RNAcentral lists this ribosomal RNA (445 nucleotides) under uncultured bacterium. Its description in RNAcentral is "partial 16S ribosomal RNA". The stretch from base 1 to 360 matches the Rfam family "Bacterial small subunit ribosomal RNA", at positions 988 to 1335 of the family's 1533-position model. The record is from RNAcentral.